This is a non-coding RNA of Myodes glareolus (Bank vole), 5267 nucleotides long. The record is from RefSeq and is a predicted model, not a curated record. Lineage: Eukaryota; Metazoa; Chordata; Mammalia; Rodentia; Cricetidae.
AGUCACAAGCCUUGUGACAAAAUCUAGAAUACUAAAAAUGAGUUAAUUUAAGUUAUAAGACCUAGUCAGUAAUAAGCUUGAGCUAAUAGGCCAAACAGUUUGUAAUUAAUAUUAAGCCUCAGAGUAGUUUUUUGGGACCUGGCAGGUGGAGAGAGACCAGUUACAGGACAGAGGUACUCAGCAAGAGUUAAGGCGUUUACCUCAGGUGUGUAAGCAGGGCAGGCUGACAGGAAAUACUGGCCCCUUCCUCCACUUCCCUUAGAGAAGAAAGUGCUAAGAAAAGCUGAGGGGCUUCUCUGGACCCCAACUGCACAAUGGGACUCAGAGUCACAGAAAAUAGACGAACACAGGAGUUUUCUAGUCCCGGUGUUCUGAAGGGAAAGCUGACCUGUGUGAGCACCGGGGACCUAUGACUGGCUCCUAGGCUGGCAGCCAGGGAAGGCGCCAUGCGGAUAAGGAAAGUGGAGAGUCGACACUAUCCUCUGAAGAGCCUAGAUCAGGGUAUGUUCCCUGAAACAUAAACCAGCUUUGAUGAAUGAGGAAACUUGGAAGUGAUUUCCACCUUGAACUUUUUUAACACUGGCAAAGUGGAAAACUGGGAUCCUUGACUCGAUGGUGUGGCUAUGGAACUGACUGGUGCAGGCGACUCUUCUUCCGUGGAAGCGCUCGGCACGCCUUUGCCACACACCUGGGAGAGCACCAUGUGUUCAAAGACACCAGAUGGGAAAGUUGGAUGGUAUUGGAGGUGUGACGGCCCCUGGUGGCUUCCGAGAUGGGAAAAGGAAGUGCCCUUUUGCAGCAUCCUGGAAUAUCAGCUUCCAGGCUGGCAUCUCAAGCAGUAGGACUGUUGCCUGGGAGACAAGGAACAUGAAAGAACACCAGAACAGGGUGGGGGCUACACGGGGAACCAUCCUUGGAGGCCAGUGCUACGAACCACAGGCUGCACUGGACACGGGGCAAAAGCUCUGCAAUAGAUUGGAAUGUGCAUCCCGGUUCUGAAUCAGCAUUCUGCCACGCUAUACAAGCCCAGGAUGUUCAUCACUUGCCGUCACAGAACAACGGUAUGUGCGCUGAGAGAGCCGCUCGCUAUGCCAAGCAUGGCGACGUAAGCCGUGUCAUUUAAACUUCAUCGCAACAGGACGGGAGAUGCCAGGCAUAGUGUAUUAGGGUCCUGUUCUCCUCAUCUCACCCAACCACAUCUGCAAAGACUCCAUUUCCAUGCAAGACUGAAUUCUGAGGUGCCGCGGGCUAGGAGUUCAGCCCAUGAAUUAACUUAACCCAUCGCAAGUGAGGUCCUGCCUCCAGAAGUCAGGAGCACAUUUGGAUCAUACACAUACGCCUGCCCCAAGGAGUUCUCCUGAAAAUUACAAACUGUCGGCCCAGCCCUUUGAGGAGACCUUCAGAAGCUUCCAGAAAGAAGCCUGGAGAGGGUCCUGUGAGGACCUGGGAUGUGCCUGUACUGUCUUUCAAAGCAGCUGGGUGACUCAGGAAAGUCACACAAGGCAGCUCCCAUUUUCUCAUCCGCACAACAGGAAUGAGAAGGAACAGUUGUCCUGCCUGCCGUCUAAUGGAGUGAGGGCCAUUCUAAGAGGAGCGACUGGCCUUGGGGUGCAGGAAGGCUUUGGGGACACCGGCUCCCAUCAGUUGCCGUGUUUGCCCUUACUGCACAAGCAUCACAGACACCUGGAAGAGCUUAGGGUGGAAGCCUGGAGCCGGGAGCCAUGUUGGUCACCACUGCAGCGGGUCCAGGAAGAGUCCUGGCAAGAGAGGAAGAGAUGAGCUACAGACACAGAGAAUCCCUCCUGCCCACAUCUCCUGAGCUCCCAGUUUUGUCCUCCCCUUCACAGAUGGGCCUGUGCUUCCCAACUCCUCCUUCAGGCUUUGUGCUGAGAGCUCUGGACCCAUUAGGGCCAAAGCACCAUCCUCUUCCGGCAGGGAGCUUGAGGAGAGAAGAGGCGGUGACCAGUGGCUGAGCACAGUGUCCAGGGCGUCAAGAUGCCUGUUCAGGGGACCUCAGCAAACUGCUGCCCGGAGGCCUGCACUGCUGAUAAGAUGGGUGUUCCUGGGACUCAGGGGCCAAAAUGAGUUCCCCAGAGAGGAGCCGACCUCUGGGUUUUAUGAAGAUGCAUCCAGAUGAACUGGCCACCCUAUUCUCUGAGGCUUCUGUAGCCUAUGCCAGUACAAGCAGGGUUGGUGGGUGGGCGGUGGGUGAUACCAGGGGGGGUCAGAGCAUCUCAUUCUGGGAGGAUCUGGGCCUGAGUGUGAACACCUAGGCUGCUUCCAUGUGAAGCUGCUGAGUAGGAACUGGGAGUGCGGAGAGAGCUGGAGGCUGUCUGUGUGGGGGAGAGAGAGCAAGUCAGGAGCAACCCUCACAUCUGUGAACCCAUUCUUCUGCCGUCUGUGGGACUGAUCUGUGUCCGUUAUGGGCUUUGCGAGUGGGAAGUGUUAUCUCCAAGAGUCUGGGGGGUUGUUUCAGUUUGUUGUUGUUCCUGAAACAGGGUCUCCUUCAGCCCAGGCUUUGUUGAACUUGCUAGUAGCUGAGGAUGACCUUGAACUUCUGACGUCACUUCAGGAGCGUGGAGAUUACAGUCUAGGGAACUGGAAGAGCUUAUACACUCAACCAGGGUGGCACAGCCAUGACCAGGUGGGCGGAGAGAGGCUUGACCACCUGUACUGGACUUCGAGAUCUGCGCCACUGACAUAAGUGUGUGACCGCUCUCCUCGGAUCUUCCAAAGUUUCACCGUGCUCUGCCGCUUCAUCCUCAGCCACUGCUGCUGUGACUUACGGGGAUCCCAGCCACACUUCUUAACACCCAGAGUCCAGCUUUGCAAACAAGGCUGCCUGCCCAUCACUAUCGCUGUGCUUCUGGACAAAGCGAGGCCAGAUGCCUUUCUCCUCUCACGUUCCACUGAGGGACACUGAGAAAAUCAAUUUCCCCUCAAUACCCUGCGGAUGCACUCGGCCUAGCUUUCCAGGGACUCAUGAAAUAAUGGCAAUGUUCAUUUCUUGCUUCUGUGCCAAGUGCUGUGAAGCAGAUCCUAGGCACACCUCAAGGAUGCUACUAUCUCCACUGUUUAGAAGAGAAGGCAGGAAACUCUGCCAGGCUCACAGACACCUGGAAACUCUACGCUGAGGCUGGCACCUCAGCAGCUCACUGCCAGAGCCCUGGCAUAGACUACCUGCCUCUUGGGAAAAAAGUAUUAGUAAGAUUCAGGGAGAGUCUAUCGUUUGGAUGCUGGACCACAGUGUGGUGUUGUUAGGAGCCCUGAGCCCCCAGAGCGCACAGUGAGCUCUCUGAGACAGCACAGCCGGAAUGCCGGAAAAGUCAGUUUCACUGGGGACAGUCAUGGAGGAGAGAGCAAGGGCUCAACUUGUCCUGCAGAGAGUCAGGAGAGAAGCCACAGAAAAGACUGAAGGCCUAUCUAACAGCAAGAGUCAGAACCCUUGACUGGCAGGCAAGUCAGGCCCCUGCAGCAGCUGAGCCAGACUGAGCCUCCCAGGUUUGCUAGGCGUCAGGGGUUUCCGGGUCUGUAGAUAGACCUGUGCUCUGACUAGCUGCAGAGCUCAUGGGAUGGGGGACAGCUUUCUGAUUCGCUUCCACAUCUAGAGUCUGCCACUUAUUUUGCCCUCCUUAUUUUGUCUCCGUGCCUGCUGCAGAGAAGCCUGGGCCCGUAGGGCACACACAGCGGGAGAGCAAGCUGUCCCAUGUCAUAGGCAGGGUCACUGUCCUGCAGAAGGCAUGCAGCAAGUAGUUACAAUGGUGGAGGCGUCUGAGUAGCACAACCCCACUCCCCCCACCAGCAACAAGUGCCUCCUUCACCAGCAAGAACAUACUCUCUGGAACUGGAUGGAAAACCCCUCUCCACUCUCCACAAUAACCCGGGUCUCCUCUGAACAGUAGAGAAAGCCAGGCAUUAAAAUAUGUCUUUAGGUCAGCAGUCAGUCUCAGGGGUUUUUCAGUUCAUGAUCUGGAGACGAAACUGGGGAAGACUACCACUGCCUCUCUGGUCACCGAAGAGGGGUGACAUAAAGGACCCUUUAAUCUCACCCAGACAUCUGUGGGCCAGCAUGACAGUAAGUCCCCUCCCUGGCAAACACACAGGCUCCUUAACUGGGAACUUUACUACAAGUGACACAAUGGAGCCUUGUUUAUAGUUGCUAAAAGGUCACAGGAGGUGGAAGAAGUCUUGAAGGCCACAAAUCUUAGACUCCUUCCUGCCCCACUGUCUGGGCUGACAUCAGGAAGCCAUGCGCGUAUUCCACGCCUCUCCACCGGCACCUUGAUCUGCUAUGCGUGCUGCGCUGUCAGAUCUCCGUUCAGGGCCAUGUCUGGUUCUUGCCUAAGAUCUCCACUGGUGUGUCUCUCACAGUGCAGGAUAGUGUACACUCAAUCCGAAAAAGAUAAACCAGGCAGUGGUGGUGCACGCCUUAAAUAUCAGCAUUCGGGAGGCAGAGGCAGGUGGAUCUUUGUGGGUGUGAGGCCAGCCUGGUCUACAGAGCAAGUUCCAGGUUAUACAGAGAAACCCUGUCUCGAGCUACCCCCCACCCAUAAAAGGAAGAUAUGUCACAGGGAGCUGGAAGUGACCCCAAUGUCAUUCUGUCUUAACAUUGGGGUUUGUGGGCUGUGCCUGUUCCUUGUAGGAUACUUAGCAGUCAAGCAUCUUCCCCACCUUCUGAACAACCACAACUAUCCCCACAUAUGACUCCGGGACAAACUGCCUGGCUGGAAACCAGAGCCACUGGUGUGUAUGGCUGAAGUCUAGGGAUAGAGAGUGUUUAGAGCUGGCUAUGCUGGCUCAAAUCAGUAACCUAAUACUCAGGAGGCUGAGGCAGGAGGCUUGCUUUGAGUUCAAGGCCAGCUUGGGGUAGAUCGUGAAUUCUAAGCUAGCCUGGACUAAAGUUUGAGACCCUAUCUAAAAACAAAAUGAAGAUAAAACAGAAAGAAUGACAGGGAGGUGAUUUGAAUAAGAAUGCUUCCACAGGUUCAUGGUUUGAAUGCUUAGUGGAACUAUUGAAGGAAGGAUUAGGAGGUGUGGCCUUGUUGGAGGAGGUGUGUCACUGCCGGUGGGCUUUGAGAAUUCAAUAGUUCAUGCCAGGUGCAGUCAUUUUCUCUCUCUUUCUGCCAAGAACUUUAGGAUCAAAUGUAAGCUCUUAGCCACUGCCCCAGUGUGCUUGCUUGUUUCCUGCUGUGCUCCCAGCUAUGAUGUUAAUGGACUAACCCUCUGAACCUGUAAGUGAGGCCCCGAUUAAAUGCGUUUUUUUAUAA